RNAcentral lists this ribosomal RNA (460 nucleotides) under uncultured bacterium. Its description in RNAcentral is "partial 16S ribosomal RNA". It matches the Rfam family "Bacterial small subunit ribosomal RNA", at positions 338 to 795 of the family's 1533-position model. The record is from RNAcentral.
CCUACGGGUGGCAGCAGUGAGGAAUAUUGGUCAAUGGACGAGAGUCUGAACCAGCCAAGUAGCGUGAAGGAUGACUGCCCUAUGGGUUGUAAACUUCUUUUAUAUGGGAAUAAAAUGUUCCACGUGUGGGAUUUUGUAUGUACCAUAUGAAUAAGGAUCGGCUAACUCCGUGCCAGCAGCCGCGGUAAUACGGAGGCUCCGAGCGUUAUCAGGCUUUAUUGGGGUUAACGGGUGCGUAGGUGGAUUGUUAAGUCAGUUGUGAAAGUUUGGGGUUCAACCGUAAAAUUGCAGUUGAAACUGGCAGUCUUGAGUACAGGAGAGGUGGGCGGAAUUCGUGGUGUAGCGGUGAAAUGCGUAGAUAUCACGAGGAACACCGAUUGCGAAGGCGGUUCACUGGACUGCAACUGACACUGAGGCGCGAAAGUGUGGGGAUCAAACAGGAUUAGAUACCCGAGUAGUC